GAACUUCUCUUGGAACCACAACAGAAAAUGUAUAAUCUCUGGGGACAUUAAAAAAAAAAAAAAAAAAACUGAUUUCACAGGUCGAUGGCAGAGUUGACUUUUUGACUUUUGCAUCUGCAGAGAGAAAACAAGAAAUGACAAAGUUCAACUUGAGUUGGACAGUGUGGUGUGACAACAAAAAAGUAUGUCAGCAGCAAAAGGAGGUCUAAGUAAAACAUUGGACUGAUACUUCAAGAAGAUGGUCACCUACCAAGUAAUGCUGCGGUCUUACUGAUGCAAAUUACAAAUGCAAGUCAGAGGAUCUAUAUGGGAAAUUCCACAACCAUGGAGAGUAUUAAGCGAAGUUCAUGUUUAUGCCUCCUUUUUGUGGUAAAUGAAAUUAUAUUUAUGGGAUCUCUCUCCAUUUACUACAGGAUGUUCUUUCCUCGAGUCAGAGUUUGAAGAGAGAUACAGAAGCUUUUGUGGUCUGUCUUCAGAAGAAUGGAUGAGAGAGAAGAUAUACAUAUUAAUUUCAGCAUUUACCAUAUUGCAUCAAUCAACAAACUAAGGGUUACUGGCAUGCUUGAUAUUCUUUUCUCUACCUAAUUUAAAAUCCUUAAUUUAAUUCUUAAAAGCCUUAAUUUAAAAUCCUCUAUAAUACAACUAUUCUUUAAUUGUUCUACUGUCCUUAGCUACGCUAUCUCUUCUAGUAUAACAUUUACAAAAAUGCAGUAAUCUUGUAUGCAGUUUUACAAUAUCUUGAACCAUAAAUAUUUGUGUUUGCAGGUGUAUAGAGCACACAUGCGUAUUUAUGUUUAAUGUGUAAUUAUAUACUGUAAAUAUAUUACCCACAUAUAGAUCCAUGUCUAAUCUCUAAAUAUAAUCACUAAAUUUUAUCUAGCUAUAUUGUUUAUGAACUUAUUAAGUUAAAUUAAUAAAUCUUAGAAAUACAUCA
Molecule: long non-coding RNA, 934 nt
Filed under: Anas platyrhynchos platyrhynchos (common mallard)
Lineage: Eukaryota; Metazoa; Chordata; Aves; Anseriformes; Anatidae
Description: lncRNA (ENSAPLG00000027918.1)
Source: RNAcentral